Molecule: long non-coding RNA, 512 nt
Filed under: Olea europaea (common olive)
Lineage: Eukaryota; Viridiplantae; Streptophyta; Magnoliopsida; Lamiales; Oleaceae
Description: long non-coding RNA (OEUR_LNC006197)
Source: RNAcentral
ACCUAAGUCUUGUCCCACGCAAGCACCUUUAAGUCUGGCAAUGCAUCAAGUAAAAAACCCGACCAUGGUCUAUCCCGAGCUUGCCAGGCUCGACCUAUUCUCAAAUUCAUCAGAGCAAAGAUCGAAAUAUUAUUUCACGUUCGGCUCGGGGGCCUAUCCUCGACCUCAACGCAUUGUCAAAAACCCAGCCACAAGAGCUAGGGAUAUUAUUUCACAUUGGACUCGGGCUAUGUUCUGGAGCUCAAAUUAUUGUCAAACCCCAGCCAACAAACUUGAGAUAAAUAUAUUCAGAAUAGGAUUGAGCUUCCAAUUAGCCUCCUAUAUGAAACUUUGUUUAUUCGUCAAACUCAUUACUUCCAAAACUUUUUAAAAAGCUCGAAGUCGAGCUCGUUCUUUUCAACUUCUAAACAAGGUAGAGGUCAAGCUCUUUCACUUCAAGUACUGAUAAAGCUUGAGGUUGAGCUCAUUCAUGCCAAAUUCUUUUACAAGGUCGAAGUCGAGCUCAGUUCUCU